GCAAACUUGGUCAUUUAGAGGAAGUAAAAGUCGUAACAAGGUUUCCGUAGGUGAACCUGCGGAAGGAUCAUUAUUGAAUAUUCUUGACGGGUUGUAGCUGGCCCUUUGGGGCAUGUGCACGCCUGUCUUGUUAUUCAUCCACCUGUGCACCUUUUGUAGUCUUGUGGGCUGAGAGCAGUCAACUAUCGGUCAAUGUCCGGAUGUGAGGAAUGCUGAGCGCGAAAGCAUACAGCUCUUCUCAAAUGACUUGCAAUACCUCUCCUUCAAGUGCUAUAUAUUCAUAUACCACUAGUAUGUUGCAGAAUGUGAUCAAAGGGCUUAUAUGCCUAUAAUAAUCAUAUACAACUUUCAGCAACGGAUCUCUUGGCUCUCGCAUCGAUGAAGAACGCAGC
This 392-nucleotide unclassified non-coding RNA is filed under the name uncultured fungus. RNAcentral describes it as "partial contains small subunit ribosomal RNA, internal transcribed spacer 1, and 5.8S ribosomal RNA". The stretch from base 1 to 73 matches the Rfam family "Eukaryotic small subunit ribosomal RNA", at positions 1759 to 1831 of the family's 1831-position model. The record is from RNAcentral. Lineage: Eukaryota; Fungi.